GCCAAGUCACUUAUUGCCAAUGAUUAAGUUGGAUGAUAUGGAGAAACAUAAAUUUCUUUCUUUCUUUUUUUUUUUUGGAGUUCUAAAAGGAAGACUCUUUGAAGUCCCUGGCUUCUGGCACAGUGUUGUUGCUGGCUUGGUUAUAUUACUCUUGAUCAUUAUAAAAACUCUCCAUUAAAACUGAUAUAAUACUUAAGACAAACAUGCUGUAAUUAUUACAUGAAUAAAGAGCUUGUGUAGCAUAAACUGUUUUUGUAACAUCAACACAAAUUCUGUUGGAGCAGGCUAAUAAUUAGCCACCAAGGGCUAAUUAUACAUUCUAGUACCAACUAGAAUAUAUCUGGUUCCCUAACAUAUAUUGGAAAUUAAAUUUCAUCUUCAUUUUACUUUUUUUUUUUAAGGAAAGGACUCUUCGAUUUGAUUACUAGCAAACUCUUACUGUACAUGAAAUCCUGUUCAAGGUCUGAAAGCUCAAAUUAAUAAAUGAUUUUGUCAUCAUAAUCUAAAUGUCUAACAGUGGAACAUGAAUUUAACAGUGUGGAAGAAAAGUUGUCCUAAAACAUAAGACAUCUAUAUGUGCUGGGAUUUCAAUACUUUUUAUUUUUACUACUUGAAUGCUGCAUUUAUGCAUUGCUUUGCUUUGGUUUAUGGCUGUUAGUUUAGCAACUAAGGGCUGAAUGAACAGAUCCCUCACAGAUCAUCCAACCUCAUGACCAGGCAAGGGGAGCCUCAGCUGGAGCAGCCUAUUUCUGUUUCCUGGGUCUAGACUCAGAGCAGACAUUUAAAAGACAAUACAGCAGUAAAUCCUCUCCUACCUUGACUACAACUAAACCUGACAUUUGGGAAGUGAGGUAUAGUCAAUAGUUUGGGCUGUAAUAAUAAUUCAAUAAAUAUCAGUUUUGAUGUACCAGAAGUCAGAAAGCUACCUUGUACACCUUGCCAGUAACAGCCCAUGGUAUACCUGGUUGCAUUAGAAUCAGCUGGGGAGGGGGAAGGGAUGUCAGUGGGAAUAGUGCAGUGAGAACCUCCAGAAAAUCUGCUCCUCCAUAUAAACAAUGAGAACAUCGCCAAAGAUUGUAAAAAAAAAAUUGUCAAAACUUUUUCAGAACCCCAGAAAUUAGCCAAAAGCUUGCAACAACCUGAGAAGCAUUCAUUCACGAAAAGUGGCUGAAUCUCAGUAAGAA
Molecule: long non-coding RNA, 1184 nt
Filed under: Homo sapiens (human)
Lineage: Eukaryota; Metazoa; Chordata; Mammalia; Primates; Hominidae
Description: non-protein coding LINC00484:21
Source: RNAcentral